Molecule: non-coding RNA, 342 nt
Organism: Pelobates cultripes (western spadefoot toad)
Lineage: Eukaryota; Metazoa; Chordata; Amphibia; Anura; Pelobatidae
Source: the annotation of a GenBank genome assembly
CAGACGUUUGGGUAGUAAAGAGGGCCCAGAAAAAAUUGAAUGUCUUGAUAAAGGGAGUGGUGGUUGGGCUGAAUCAGGUAAGAUGGGGCGGCCUAUGUAGCUAUAGGCCAGGUAACCCCUCCCACAACUUCAGGCAUUGCCUACAGCCUCAGCCUUUUUAUUUGUGGCCAGUGAUAAUAAACCGAGUUGGUGUCCGUGAUGUAAGUCGGUUGUGGUUUGGGUAGUCAAAUUACUGCAUUUGGUACUCUAUCUACUAAACUGUGCCAGUACCAAUAAAUAUUAGCUUCUAUUUAUCGAUAAUUUAUAUUUUUAUUCCUAUUAGUGGAUGUAUAGGCAGGGCCC